RNA transcript from Apis dorsata (giant honeybee), 1871 nucleotides. It is a transcript of the gene named putative fatty acyl-CoA reductase CG5065, with no coding region annotated. The record is from RefSeq and is a predicted model, not a curated record. Lineage: Eukaryota; Metazoa; Arthropoda; Insecta; Hymenoptera; Apidae. The transcript has 10 exons.
GCAAUUUUAGUGUUAAAAAAAAUUAAUCUGAAAAUAAUUGAAGAUUAUUAUCACCACAUUAUGCCUAAUUGCAUAGCCGAUACAAGAUCGAUGGAAUGUGUCUCAAUAGCUACGUUUUAUGCUGGCCGGAAUAUUUUCAUAACCGGUGGUAGCGGUUUUUUAGGAAAGGUAUUAAUCGAAAAAUUAUUGAGAUCUUGUCCUGAAAUUGGACAUAUAUUUAUUUUAAUGCGGCCAAAAAAAGGAUUAUCUAUCGACGAAAGAUUGAAGAAAAUGUUCGAAUUACCGCUAUUUGAUAGACUAAGAAAAGAAAACUAUUCUAGUUUCGAAAAAUUAAUUCCGGUUCUUGGUGAUAUAAGCCUCGAGGAUUUAGGUUUAUCAAAAAUCGAAAGACAAACAAUAAUCGAACAAGUUUCAAUAAUUUUCCAUAUAGCUGCAAAUGUUAGAUUCGAGGGAAAUUUAAAGAAAGAUAUAUUUUCGAAUGUUCGUUCAACAAGAGAUGUCUGUAUUCUUGCAAAAAGCAUGAAAAACUUAGUGGCUUUAGUGCACGUUAGUACUGCAUACGCACAUGUUGAUAAACCGGUGAUUGACGAAAUUGUAUAUCCUUCCUUAACCGAUUGGAGAAAUGUUAUAAAAAUGGUAGAAUCAUUGGAUGAACAAAUUAUACAAGUAUUUACUUCUAAAUAUUUGGGUUCAAUGCCAAAUACAUACACAUUUUCCAAACGAAUAGCUGAACAAGUGAUAAAUGAUUAUUCGAAAGAUUUACCUAGUGUAAUUUUUCGGCCGUCAAUAGUGACAUCAACAAUCAAUGAUCCUAUGCCUGGCUGGUUGGACAACUUUAAUGGACCUGUGGCAAUGAUGAUUGGUGGUGCAAAAGGAAUAUUGCGAAUAAUUCGUUUAGAAGCGAAUGCAUGCGCAGAUUUUCUUCCUGUUGAUUUGGCUAUUAAGAUUAUGAUCGCAGCGGCAUGGAAACGAGGAUUAAACACAAUUACCAAGGAUCCAACUACUUACGUUUACAAUGCCACUUCUUAUCAAAUUCAUCGCAUUUCUAAUAAAGAAAUGAUUAAAAUGGGAUUGAAAUUAAAUGAAGAAAUGCCAUUUGAAGGAAUCAUUUGGUAUCCCCAGACUUUUAUAACAUCGAACCGUUUUCUUUAUUUUGUAUUGACAUUGUUGAUUCAUGUGAUACCAGCCUUGAUUAUAGAUGAAAUUCUCAAAAUAACGGGUCGUCAACCGAUGCUGAUGAAACUUCAUAAAAUUAUUUAUUCACAUGUAACACAAUUAAGUUACUUCUUACAUAAUGAAUGGAUUUUUUAUAAUUUCAAAAUGUUGGACAUUUUGGAUAUGCAAGUUCCAUUGGCAGAACGAGAAAUCUUUAGCUAUGAUUAUCGCAAUUUUAAUUUAAAUAAAUAUUUUAAGUGAGUAAGCAAAAUAUGGAAUGAACGAAAUGUUAUCUUUUGAAGGAGGAUCUGAAUCGAUUAAAAGAAGUAAAACAACAUUUUAAUAGGAUGCAAUGGAUCAAUAGAAUUUUCAACAUUUGGUUAAUUAUCAUGUUAAUGUGGACACUUGGAAAAAUCGGAAUAUUUUCAUACUUUUCAAAUUGAAUCGCUUUCUAACCAGCUUAUAAUGAUUUGUUUACAAUCUGAAAUUAUUAUUUAAUAACGUGUAAUUGGUAAGAAAAUACUAGUAAAAAAAAAAGAAAGAAUAAUGCAAUAAUCAAUUGUGAAAAAAAGAAUCUAUUCAUGUAUUUUAUUAUCUUCGAAACAUAAUUAUGUUAUAUUUUAAUAUCUUCGAAACAUAAUUAUAUUAUAACAUUAUUAUACAAAUAAAUUCAUUAUUAUACAAAUUAAUACAAAUAAAAUAAAUUCAGAAUAUUA